CCAUCCCGAACACGGAAGUUAAGCCCUCCAGCGCCGAUGGUACUUGGGGUUCACCCCUGGGAGAGUAGGUCGUUGCCAGGC
RNAcentral lists this ribosomal RNA (81 nucleotides) under Thermoactinomyces sp. CICC 10521. RNAcentral also lists the same sequence under 1 other name. Lineage: Bacteria; Bacillati; Bacillota; Bacilli; Caryophanales; Thermoactinomycetaceae. The record is from RNAcentral.